RNAcentral lists this ribosomal RNA (678 nucleotides) under uncultured Actinomycetes bacterium. RNAcentral describes it as "bacterial SSU rRNA". It matches the Rfam family "Bacterial small subunit ribosomal RNA", at positions 84 to 776 of the family's 1533-position model. The record is from RNAcentral. Lineage: Bacteria; Bacillati; Actinomycetota; Actinomycetes.
GUGUGUAUAAAGUGGCGAACGGCUGAGUAACACGUGGGCAACCUGCCCUCCUCUUGGGGAUAGCCUCGGGAAACCGAGGAUAAUACCCGAUACUUCAAUGUGGCCGCAUGACGACAUUGAGAAAGCUUUUGCGGAGAAGGAUGGGCCCGCGGCCUGUUAGCUUGUUGGUGGGGUAGAGGCCUACCAAGGCAAUGAUGGGUAGCUGGGUUGAGAGACCGACCAGCCAGAUUGGGACUGAGACACGGCCCAGACUCCUACGGGAGGCAGCAGUGGGGAAUCUUGCACAAUGGGCGAAAGCCUGAUGCAGCGACGCCGCGUGCGGGACGAAGGCCUUCGGGUUGUAAACCGCUUUCAGCAGGGACGAGGCGAAAGUGACGGUACCUGCAGAAGAAGCCCCGGCUAACUACGUGCCAGCAGCCGCGGUAAUACGUAGGGGGCAAGCGUUAUCCGGAUUCAUUGGGCGUAAAGCGCUCGUAGGCGGUCUGUUAGGUCGGGAGUUAAAUCCGGAGGCUCAACCUCCGCCCGCUCCCGAUACCGGCAGACUUGAGUUUGGUAGGGGAAGGUGGAAUUCCUAGUGUAGCGGUGGAAUGCGCAGAUAUUAGGAAGAACACCAGUGGCGAAGGCGGCCUUCUGGGCCAUAACUGACGCUGAGGAGCGAAAGCUAGGGGAGCAAACAGG